CAGCAGCCGCGGUAAUACGAAGGGGGCUAGCGUUGCUCGGAAUGACUGGGCGUAAAGGGCGCGUAGGCGGCACACACAGUCAGGCGUGAAAUUCCUGGGCUUAACCUGGGGGCUGCGUUUGAUACAUGUGAGCUAGAGGAUGGAAGAGGCUCGUGGAAUUCCCAGUGUAGAGGUGAAAUUCGUAGAUAUUGGGAAGAACACCGGUGGCGAAGGCGGCGAGCUGGUCCAUUACUGACGCUGAGGCGCGAAAGCGUGGGGAGCAAACAGGAUUAGAUACCCGCGUAGUCCCUGUCUCUUAUAC
Molecule: ribosomal RNA, 301 nt
Filed under: uncultured bacterium
Lineage: Bacteria
Description: partial 16S ribosomal RNA
Rfam family: Bacterial small subunit ribosomal RNA
Source: RNAcentral